RNAcentral lists this ribosomal RNA (357 nucleotides) under uncultured type I methanotroph. Its description in RNAcentral is "bacterial SSU rRNA". It matches the Rfam family "Bacterial small subunit ribosomal RNA", at positions 359 to 716 of the family's 1533-position model. Lineage: Bacteria; Pseudomonadati; Pseudomonadota; Gammaproteobacteria; Methylococcales; Methylococcaceae. The record is from RNAcentral.
GAGUAAUAUGGGGGGCACCUGAUCAGCAUGCCGCGUGUGUGAAGAAGGCCUUCGGGUUGUAAAGCACUUUUAUCGGGAACGAAACAUUGUCGGUGAAUAUCCGGCAAGACUGACGGUACCCGAGGAAUAAGCACCGGCUAACUUCGUGCCAGCAGCCGCGGUAAUACGAAGGGUGCAAGCGUUACUCGGAAUUACUGGGCGUAAAGGGUGCGUAGGUGGUUUUUUAAGUCUGCUGUGAAAUCCCCGGGCUCAACCUGGGAAUGGCAGUGGAUACUGGAAAGCUGGAGUGCGGUAGAGGGUAGUGGAAUUCCCGGUGUAGCAGUGAAAUGCGUAGAGAUCGGAAGGAACACCAGUGGA